GUAGAGAGCAUAGCAACCACCCUGGGAGGGCCUAUGAGCCAUAACAACCAGUUGACCAAUCAACACAGGGCAAGUCCUCCAAGCCUGGAGGCACACCAAUCAUGAGCCUGUGCGUACCCCUAGACACUCCCCUUACGCUGCCCUAUAAGAUCUUUGGGGAGACCUUAGGAGCCGUCUUUUCUAGCCGUCAGCCAUGGCGGGUGGGUGAAAGACCCGAGCUAACAUGGGGUUAGUUCGUUAAAUUACAAUAAAGCCUCGUGCAGUUUGCAGCAAGCUCUCGAAUCCGCCUGGUGAUUGGGGUGACCGCGAACCUGGCCUGAGACCCCGGAUACUUGAGUUUUCGGGGGUCUAACAUUUUGGGGGCUCGUCCGCGAUUUGCGACCACCCUUCACCUGAGUGGAUUCGAUCUUGGAGUUUAUAAUGUCAGACAGACCGCCAGAUCCGGACAGUGACCCAAAGUCUCCAAAGAAGAUUAUGAGGCAACCCAGUUCCUGCACCUGGACCAGUGAGCAAGAUGCUCAGAUGUGAUACCUGCCGCCUGCCAGAACCUAGCCGAGACUGUGGACAAAGCUGCUGGACACUGGAAAAUUGAUUGCACCCCUUUGCCUAGACAAAACAAGGUUUCUGCUUCUGGCAGACAUCUGAAUAUCAGUUGCUGACUACAGACUGUUCUAAGACUGCGAGCCCUAGACUUGCUGUGGAUGUGAACCAGUUCAGCUGAUAUGGACACCCCCUGUCUCUGCAACAGUGUCUGCUACCCAGAAGCCCCUGAUGAAUUCCCC
Molecule: long non-coding RNA, 782 nt
Filed under: Cricetulus griseus (Chinese hamster)
Lineage: Eukaryota; Metazoa; Chordata; Mammalia; Rodentia; Cricetidae
Description: lncRNA (ENSCGRG00015020094.2)
Source: RNAcentral